Molecule: ribosomal RNA, 639 nt
Filed under: Triticum aestivum (bread wheat)
Lineage: Eukaryota; Viridiplantae; Streptophyta; Magnoliopsida; Poales; Poaceae
Description: partial small subunit ribosomal RNA
Source: RNAcentral
AUGGUCAAGGACAUGGACUAUCCAGAAAUGGCAAAGAUGGAUUUCUGCGAGGUAAUCAUCAAAUGUAUUAGGGAAGGAGCCAAGACAUGGCAGAAGCACAGGAUGUUGCCUCAGGAAGAAAAGAACAAAAAGCACGUCAAUGGUUUGGCUCAGGGACCAGUAAUCAUGUACCUUGACUCCCUGCUGUUGCCAACCGACACAAAAGAAAUGCGGAAGAUUGCAAAGACAAUGGACAGGACCUCAUUACCACGAGCAAACCAUCUCAAAGAGAGUGACCUAGCAAAAAUAGCUAGAGCAGACAUGAAAACGGACGGAAAAGCACGACCAGAUGACUAUGAAUUUGGCAAGAUACAGAUAGCAGGAGAACAUCGUAAAGAACAGCAACACCAACACACAACCAAACUACUACCACCUCCACCCAAACGCCGGCGCGAACCACGUAUCGGCACUAGUGGAAGCACGGAACCAAACAAAAGCAUCAACACAGGACCAGAAGAAAGAUUCCAAAGGAUAAACAAAUUGUUGGAAAAAGUGCUCCAUGAAGCAGAACAGUUACCCACAGUAACCACCAAGGCUAAACAGGGAUGUAACGAAAAAGAAGAGAGAUUGGAUGAAAAAAACAAGGACAAAGUCGUGUAA